This 253-nucleotide ribosomal RNA is filed under the name uncultured bacterium. Its description in RNAcentral is "partial 16S ribosomal RNA". It matches the Rfam family "Bacterial small subunit ribosomal RNA", at positions 524 to 776 of the family's 1533-position model. The record is from RNAcentral.
UACGUAGGGUGCGAACGUUAAUCGGAAUUACUGGGCGUAAAGCGUGCGCAGGCGGUUUUGUAAGCCAGGUGUGAAAUCCCCGGGCUCAACCUGGGAAUGGCAUUUGGGACUGCAAGGCUGGAGUGCGGCAGAGGAGACUGGAAUUCCUGGUGUAGCAGUGAAAUGCGUAGAUAUCAGGAGGAAUACCGAUGGCGAAGGCAGGUCUCUGGGCUGACACUGACGCUCAUGCACGAAAGCGCGGGGAGCAAACAGG